Molecule: ribosomal RNA, 692 nt
Filed under: Corynebacterium callunae
Lineage: Bacteria; Bacillati; Actinomycetota; Actinomycetes; Mycobacteriales; Corynebacteriaceae
Description: bacterial SSU rRNA
Rfam family: Bacterial small subunit ribosomal RNA
Source: RNAcentral
GGACGAACGCUGGCGGCGUGCUUAACACAUGCAAGUCGAACGAUGAAGCUUAGCUUGCUAGGUGGAUUAGUGGCGAACGGGUGAGUAACACGUAGGUAAUCUGCCCUGCACUUUGGGAUAAGCCUGGGAAACUGGGUCUAAUACCGAAUAGGACACACUAUCUUUACGGUGGUGUGUGGAAAGCUUUUGCGGUGUGGGAUGAGCCUGCGGCCUAUCAGCUUGUUGGUGGGGUAAUGGCCUACCAAGGCGUCGACGGGUAGCCGGCCUGAGAGGGUGUACGGCCACAUUGGGACUGAGACACGGCCCAGACUCCUACGGGAGGCAGCAGUGGGGAAUAUUGCACAAUGGGCGAAAGCCUGAUGCAGCGACGCCGCGUGGGGGAUGAAGGCCUUCGGGUUGUAAACUCCUUUCGCUAGGGACGAAGAGUUACAUUGACGGUACCUGGAGAAGAAGCACCGGCUAACUACGUGCCAGCAGCCGCGGUAAUACGUAGGGUGCGAGCGUUGUCCGGAAUUACUGGGCGUAAAGAGCUCGUAGGUGGUUUGUCGCGUCGUCUGUGAAAUCCCGGGGCUUAACUCCGGGCGUGCAGGCGAUACGGGCAUAACUUGAGUGCUGUAGGGGAGACUGGAAUUCCUGGUGUAGCGGUGAAAUGCGCAGAUAUCAGGAGGAACACCAAUGGCGAAGGCAGGUCU